This 496-nucleotide ribosomal RNA is filed under the name Daldinia loculata. RNAcentral describes it as "eukaryotic LSU rRNA". It matches the Rfam family "Eukaryotic large subunit ribosomal RNA", at positions 92 to 597 of the family's 3401-position model. The record is from RNAcentral. Lineage: Eukaryota; Fungi; Ascomycota; Sordariomycetes; Xylariales; Hypoxylaceae.
AGUGAAGCGGCAACAGCUCAAAUUUGAAAUCUGGCCCUAGCGGUCCGAGUUGUAAUUUGUAGAGGAUGCUUUUGGUUAGGUGCCUUCUGAGUUCCCUGGAACGGGACGCCAGAGAGGGUGAGAGCCCCGUACGGUUGGACACCGAGCCUCUAUAUAGCUCCUUCGACGAGUCGAGUAGUUUGGGAAUGCUGCUCUAAAUGGGAGGUAAAUUUCUUCUAAAGCUAAAUACCGGCCAGAGACCGAUAGCGCACAAGUAGAGUGAUCGAAAGAUGAAAAGUACUUUGAAAAGAGGGUUAAAUAGCACGUGAAAUUGUUGAAAGGGAAGCGUUUGCGACCAGACUUUUUCCAGGCGGAUCAUCCGGUGUUCUCACCGGUGCACUUCGCCUGGUUUAGGCCAGCAUCGGUUCUCUUAGGGGGAUAAAGGCCUGGGGAACGUAGCUCCUUCGGGAGUGUUAUAGCCCCUAGCGUAAUACCCUUCGGGGGACCGAGGAACGCG